UACGGGGGGUGCGAGCGUUGUCCGGAAUCACUGGGCGUAAAGGGCGCGUAGGUGGUUUGAUAAGGGUGUGGUGAAAGUCCGGGGCUCAACCCCGGAUCUGCCGUGCCGACUGUCAAACUCGAGGGCUGUAGAGGCAGACGGAAUUCCGGGUGUAGCGGUGAAAUGCGCAGAUAUCAGGAGGAACACCAGUGGCGAAGGCGGUGAUCUGGGCCGACACUGACGCUGUAGAGCGAAAGCGUGGGGAGCGAACAGG
This 253-nucleotide ribosomal RNA is filed under the name uncultured bacterium. Its description in RNAcentral is "partial 16S ribosomal RNA". It matches the Rfam family "Bacterial small subunit ribosomal RNA", at positions 524 to 776 of the family's 1533-position model. The record is from RNAcentral.